UCGAUUUGUAUGCUUUGGCUGA
Molecule: non-coding RNA, 22 nt
Filed under: Arabidopsis thaliana (thale cress)
Lineage: Eukaryota; Viridiplantae; Streptophyta; Magnoliopsida; Brassicales; Brassicaceae
Source: RNAcentral